CAAUUCUUCUCCAAGUCACCUGGUUGAAGUGAGUGGGUUCCAAACUCCUAGACUAGGGAGUCAGUUCCAUAUCAUCCAAGGACAUGUGCAUACAUGGGCCUCUCAGACUGUUACCUAUCUGGUUUUUCAACUUUCUAGGGUUUUUUUCUGUCUCUUUUUCUAGCUCUCUGUCUGCCUUCACCAUGUCCUGCAUCUCCGUCUCUCUAGAUCCCCCCUUUCAUCGUUUUUCCAUCCUCUUUCAGCAUGAAUAGCAAAAAGGGCACUGUCCCAGGAGGCAGAAAAUGUCUUUUGUUUUUAAUACUUUAUUGAUAAGUGAUCUUGAUCCAUAGAGGUUCUGAGGCUACUAGAAGAUCGUAAUUAGAGUCUUGCUUCUAUCCCUCUCUGGCUACUUGAGAAGUAAGGUCACUUCCUCUCUCAUGAGCCUCCAUGUCCCCAUGUUAAAGUUGUGCUAGUGGCACCUUCUUAGAGAACAAUGUUCUUCACGGGUUGUUGUGACGAGCAUAUGAGAGAAGCUAAACCACGGAGAGUCACAGAAAUGGAAGGGAUUGUUGCAAUUGUUAUGUUUUUCACAAACUAUUCUUGUCUCCUCUUAUUUCUAACUUUCACUUUCUUUCCCUAUUUGACUUCAUCUUGUUUUCUGCUAAUCUGCCUUUUUUUCUUUUAUCUGCCUCAUAAUUUAUUUCUCUUCCUCCUUUCGCAUUUGUGCUUGUCUCUCAGUCCACUUGCCUGCAUGAAUAGUUUUCCGUUUAUCUGCGUUUCUUCUUUCCCGCUCCUUUGAAAAACGAUGACUGAUGGGUCUCAAAGUAGUUUGUGAAUAUAUUACAAAAUAAGGUAAAUAACAUGAAGAUUUAUUUUUUCUCAGAUCUAAAGAAUAAAUAAAAUGAAAAGGAAGUAGGGCAAGGAGUCAGAGAUGGGAAAGGAGUUUAAUCUGCUAUACAAAAGAAUUUCCUGAUACAGAAAAGUGAUUUUUUUUAAAUCAUAGUUUCUACCCAGGAAUUUUCCGUGGCCGUGGAAUAUUGAUUCAAGACCUUAAAAGAUAUCUUCCAACAUAUGAUGUGCAAAGAAGAAAAAAGGGAGAAGAGAAGUAGAGGAGAAGGAAUUUGGUGACAAACAGACCAUUUCCAGCCACAGCAACAGAAUGAGCAGAUCCCCCAACCUGGAAUCAGCAACUGCUGCAUUUCUUCCUGAAGAUACACUUCUCGCCAACACAGACCUGGACGUUCUUGUUGAGACUGAGAGCCACAAGGAAAACAAAGAGAUAUGCAGAGGUAGGGAAAAAGCAAUUGAUUGAAGAAAUAUGCUGUGAGGUAUGUGAUACAAUCCCUAAAUGGUGGCCCCAAAAUUCUUCAAGAAAGCUCUCAGAAGAAAAUAAGAACUGAUCAAUGGAAUUUCGUUACUUCUCAAAUGCAGCAAGAGGAGGAGCUGUAUGCCAAAUAUGUGUGGAUUAUUAAUGAGGAGAAGGAAGGGCAGAAGCAAGAACAGGGAGACUGAGAAGAGCACCCAUUUGCCCAGGUUGUAAACUAGGGGUAAGAGUUAUAGAGCAAAAUCUCCUAGAGUCAAGGAAGCUUUGAGUGACAAC
Molecule: long non-coding RNA, 1579 nt
Filed under: Equus caballus (horse)
Lineage: Eukaryota; Metazoa; Chordata; Mammalia; Perissodactyla; Equidae
Description: lncRNA (ENSECAG00000052731.1)
Source: RNAcentral